AUACGUAGGUGGCAAGCGUUAUCCGGAAUUAUUGGGCGUAAAGCGCGCGCAGGCGGUCCUUUAAGUCUGAUGUGAAAGCCCACGGCUCAACCGUGGAGGGUCAUUGGAAACUGGGGGACUUGAGUGCAGAAGAGGAGAGCGGAAUUCCACGUGUAGCGGUGAAAUGCGUAGAGAUGUGGAGGAACACCAGUGGCGAAGGCGGCUCUCUGGUCUGUAACUGACGCUGAGGCGCGAAAGCGUGGGGAGCGAACAGGAUUAGAUACCCUGGUAGUCCACGCCGUAAACGAUGAGUGCUAAGUGUUAGAGGGUUUCCGCCCUUUAGUGCUGAAGUCAACGCAUUAAGCACUCCGCCUGGGGAGUACGGUCGCAAGACUGAA
RNAcentral lists this ribosomal RNA (377 nucleotides) under uncultured bacterium. Its description in RNAcentral is "bacterial SSU rRNA". It matches the Rfam family "Bacterial small subunit ribosomal RNA", at positions 523 to 898 of the family's 1533-position model. The record is from RNAcentral.